Molecule: long non-coding RNA, 1372 nt
Organism: Dermacentor albipictus
Lineage: Eukaryota; Metazoa; Arthropoda; Arachnida; Ixodida; Ixodidae
Source: RefSeq, a predicted model, not a curated record
GCAUUAAGGGCGACUGCAACCAAGCGUUGUGGCAAGUUACGGUGGGAGCUUCUGUCCGUGCUGUGUGAUUGCGACGAGGGGACCGCCGCCAGCAGCAGCGUAUCGCCGAUUUCGUCUUUGCCGACAUCGAGCAAGUGCUGCGGUUUGCACUGCAUCUUUCAUUGUGAUAUGGGAGAUCGCAACGGACAGAGACGACCAGGUGCAUACGAACGACUACCAGCGGAGAGUGACCUGUGCCGUAUUUCUCUUAACGUCUCAGGUAAUCAAGAAAUUACAACAGCCAGAAGUCACCAUCUUACCAGCACGUUAUGGGUACACUCUGGCGGCUCCUACCCCUGUGUCCUCCCACCACCCUGUCCUGACUACGUCCACUAGGUAGUUGGGAGCCUUUGGCGGCUUCUGCCACUGCAUCCUGCCGCCACCAUGUCCCGACUAUGUCCACUAGGGAGUUGGCAGCCUUAGUGAUGAUGCCAGCAGGCUGACAGCCGACAGAAAGAUUCAGGUUGCCUCGAAAUUUUACCCAAGCCAUGCCGCACACUCGGGCCAGGCCUCUUGCGAACGACGUAUAACCAGGCUCAACGCAUCAGGGUCGAGGGAGUCCGGAGAUCAAGGCAACCUGCUGUGCAACCAGCGUGCAACCUUUGGUGACCCCUCUACAUGUGCUACCUAUUUCACAGCUGUGCCUCACCUACCAUCUAUCCAAACAGCAUCACCGGCUGUGAUCACUUAUCGAACCAUGGAUGAAUGUUGGGGUGGAGUGAUUUGAACAGACAUUCUAUUUGUCUCUUCAAAUUCUUUGUAAAUAUUUCUGUUAUAAUUCAUAUGUGUCUUUAGUAUCUAGUUUUUAAUAGUUCCUUUCUCUUAGAAUUCUCACCAUCAGCCCCUGCUAUUCUAAUGUAUACCUGCCUUUAAGCCCCGUUUCUCGUAGUUCUUUCGUACUUGUGGAUGUAAUUGAUAGGUUAUUAAUUCUUGUUGUACGGAAGGCUAAAAUACGAACUUACGGCAUUUUUUCUUCCUUUGAUAAUCUACAGCACUGCAAUGUGUUCAAGAAAUGUAACAUAACACGGGCUCUGGUGCAGGAUAAAUUUAAGAGCAAUAUAGAGUACUUAUUUCAAGCACCCAUUAUUUUUUAAAAACUCAAGGAUAUAGGAGCACAAGAAAGAAACUAUUGAACUAGAGAAACAUUGGUUCCCCUCAUAAGUCUGGUAAUAAUGUGACUUCUUUCACUGCAAAGAUACUGGUACUCGCAUACAAGGUUUGAGACAUGAAAGCUAUGAUACCCUUGGCAUUUCUCAGUGCUUAUUUGCCACACUGACGAAUGUCAAAGGCAGCAUAGGUUUCAUGCACACAUUGGUUGUAUUACACCUUUUGA